UACGUAGGCAGCGAGCGUUGUUCGGAAUUACUGGGCGUAAAGAGUGUGUAGGCGGUGCUCCCAGUCUGUUGUGAAAUCUCCCGGCUUAACUGGGAGGGUGCAGCGGAAACUAGAGUGCUAGAGGGUGGGAGAGGUAAGCGGAAUUCCAGGUGUAGCGGUGAAAUGCGUAGAUAUCUGGAGGAACACCGGUGGCGAAGGCGGAUCUCUGGGCCAUAACUGACGCUGAGGAGCGAAAGCAUGGGGAGCGAACAGG
RNAcentral lists this ribosomal RNA (253 nucleotides) under uncultured bacterium. Its description in RNAcentral is "partial 16S ribosomal RNA". It matches the Rfam family "Bacterial small subunit ribosomal RNA", at positions 524 to 776 of the family's 1533-position model. The record is from RNAcentral.